CAUCGGAACGUGCCCAAUCGUGGGGGAUAACGCAGCGAAAGCUGUGCUAAUACCGCAUACGAUCUACGGAUGAAAGCAGGGGAUCGCAAGACCUUGCGCGAAUGGAGCGGCCGAUGGCAGAUUAGGUAGUUGGUGAGGUAAAGGCUCACCAAGCCUUCGAUCUGUAGCUGGUCUGAGAGGACGACCAGCCGCACUGGGACUGAGACACGGCCCAGACUCCUACGGGAGGCAGCAGGU
RNAcentral lists this ribosomal RNA (237 nucleotides) under uncultured Variovorax sp. RNAcentral describes it as "partial 16S ribosomal RNA". It matches the Rfam family "Bacterial small subunit ribosomal RNA", at positions 116 to 354 of the family's 1533-position model. Lineage: Bacteria; Pseudomonadati; Pseudomonadota; Betaproteobacteria; Burkholderiales; Comamonadaceae. The record is from RNAcentral.